Molecule: long non-coding RNA, 802 nt
Organism: Ictalurus punctatus (channel catfish)
Lineage: Eukaryota; Metazoa; Chordata; Actinopteri; Siluriformes; Ictaluridae
Source: Ensembl
CAGGUGCUAUCCACAGUAGAAAACCCCCAAAAAGCGAGCAGAGUCGAGUCGAGCCGUACCGUACAGUGCAGUUAAAAAGUGCCAUAUGUAGUUGUUUUUGUAGGCCUUGUGGUCCCUUUGGCCUUCCACACCCCUCUGCUGUGCACUGAUUGGAGGAUUGCUCAGCACCGAGCUGCACGAGCGGAAUGUAUCUGACUCUGGUUACUAGUAACAUAAAAACAACGCUGGAGACUCCGAGCCUCGCUUUCACACCCACAUUAACUGGAUAAAUCCGCUUUUAAUUCACAUUUCGGGACAUUUCUACGACCUUUUGCCUUGAGACUACCAUCACCCAGUUCUCCUUUACCUGUUUUGUAAGGAUGUUUUAAAUGUUGGUGUGAAUUUAUUAAAUAGACGUCCACCAGCAGUUACCCAGAUGAAGACGGGUUCCCUUCUGAGUCUGGUUCCUCUCAAGGUUUCUUCCCCAUAUUAUCUUAGGGAGUUUUUCCUCGCCACAGGCUUGCUUAUUAGGGAUAAAUUCACACACUUAAAAUCUGUAUCCUGUGUUUAUAUGUUUCUGUAAAGCUGCUAUGAGACAAUGUCCAUUGUAAAAAGUGCUAUACAAAUAAAAUUGCAAUGAAUUGCAUUGAACUCCGCGUGUACCGACAUGGCCCUAAGGACAUCAUAGCCACCCUCCUGUGUUUGUACGCUGCUGAUUAGAAAGUGCAGUCUUGCCCUUUAAAGUGGUCAGCUUCAAGGGCUUCCUGUGUGUGUUCAGAUUAUUCCCUGUGUAUGUAUAUGUAUGUAUGUGGGUGUGUGUGUA